UGUCGUCAGCUCGUGUUGUGAAAUGUUGGGUUAAGUCCCGCAACGAGCGCAACCCUUAUCCUUUGUUGCCAGCGGUCCGGCCGGGAACUCAAAGGAGACUGCCAGUGAUAAACUGGAGGAAGGUGGGGAUGACGUCAAGUCAUCAUGGCCCUUACGACCAGGGCUACACACGUGCUACAAUGGCGCAUACAAAGAGAAGCGACCUCGCGAGAGCAAGCGGACCUCAUAAAGUGCGUCGUAGUCCGGAUUGGAGUCUGCAACUCGACUCCAUGAAGUCGGAAUCGCUAGUAAUCGUGGAUCAGAAUGCCACGGUGAAUACGUUCCCGGGCCUUGUACACACCGCCCGUCACACCAUGGGAGUGGGUUGCAAAAGAAGUAGGUAGCUUAACCUUCGGGAGGGCGCUUACCACUUUGUGAUUCAUGACUGGGGUGAAGUCGUAACAAGGUAACCGUAGGGGAACCUGCGGUUGGAU
This 473-nucleotide ribosomal RNA is filed under the name Escherichia coli. RNAcentral's name for it is "bacterial SSU rRNA". It matches the Rfam family "Bacterial small subunit ribosomal RNA", at positions 1050 to 1523 of the family's 1533-position model. Lineage: Bacteria; Pseudomonadati; Pseudomonadota; Gammaproteobacteria; Enterobacterales; Enterobacteriaceae. The record is from RNAcentral.